UCACUCUCGGAACUUGUAUCUUGUG
This 25-nucleotide non-coding RNA is filed under the name Mus musculus (house mouse). The record is from RNAcentral. Lineage: Eukaryota; Metazoa; Chordata; Mammalia; Rodentia; Muridae.